Molecule: transfer RNA, 71 nt
Filed under: Cordylochernes scorpioides
Lineage: Eukaryota; Metazoa; Arthropoda; Arachnida; Pseudoscorpiones; Chernetidae
Description: tRNA-Thr
Source: RNAcentral
GUGUCAAGGGAUGGGAAUCGAACCCACAACCUUCCGCUUACCGGGCAGAUGCCAUGGCCACAUGACCACAA